Molecule: ribosomal RNA, 424 nt
Filed under: uncultured bacterium
Lineage: Bacteria
Description: bacterial SSU rRNA
Rfam family: Bacterial small subunit ribosomal RNA
Source: RNAcentral
UGAGGAAUAUUGGUCAAUGGCCGAGAGGCUGAACCAGCCAAGUAGCGUGAAGGAUGACUGCCCUACGGGUUGUAAACUUCUUUUAUACGGGAAUAAAGUCCGCUACGAGUAGCGGUUUGUAUGUACCGUACGAAUAAGCAUCGGCUAAUUCCGUGCCAGCAGCCGCGGUAAUACGGAAGAUGCGAGCGUUAUCCGGAUUUAUUGGGUUUAAAGGGAGCGUAGGCGGGAUGUUAAGUCAGUUGUGAAAGUUUGCGGCUCAACCGUAAAAUUGCAGUUGAUACUGGCGUCCUUGAGUGCGGCAGAGGAAGGCGGAAUUCGUGGUGUAGCGGUGAAAUGCUUAGAUAUCACGAAGAACUCCGAUUGCGAAGGCAGCUUUCUGGACCGUAACUGACGCUGAUGCUCGAAAGUGCGGGUAUCAAACAGG